GGGGAUUUAGCUCAGUGGUAGAGCGCUUGCCUAGCAAGCACAAGGCUCUGGGUUCGAUUCCCAGCUCCG
RNAcentral lists this transfer RNA (69 nucleotides) under Rattus norvegicus (Norway rat). It matches the Rfam family "tRNA". From Rfam's summary of the family: Transfer RNA (tRNA) molecules are approximately 80 nucleotides in length. The record is from Rfam by way of RNAcentral. Lineage: Eukaryota; Metazoa; Chordata; Mammalia; Rodentia; Muridae.